This 433-nucleotide ribosomal RNA is filed under the name uncultured bacterium. RNAcentral's name for it is "partial 16S ribosomal RNA". It matches the Rfam family "Bacterial small subunit ribosomal RNA", at positions 29 to 507 of the family's 1533-position model. The record is from RNAcentral.
AACGAACGCUGGCGGCAUGCCUAACACAUGCAAGUCGAACGAGACCUUCGGGUCUAGUGGCGCACGGGUGCGUAACGCGUGGGAACCUGCCCUUAGGUUCGGAAUAACUCCCCGAAAGGGGUGCUAAUACCGGAUAAUGUCUUCGGACCAAAGAUUUAUCGCCUUUGGAUGGGCCCGCGUUGGAUUAGCUAGUUGGUAGGGUAAAAGCCUACCAAGGCGACGAUCCAUAACUGGUCUGAGAGGAUGAUCAGCCACACUGGGACUGAGACACGGCCCAGACUCCUACGGGAGGCAGCAGAGGGGAAUAUUGGACAAUGGGCGAAAGCCUGAUCCAGCAAUGCCGCGUGAGUGAUGAAGGCCUUAGGGUUGUAAAGCUCUUUUACCCGGGAUGAUAAUGACAGUACCGGGAGAAUAAGCUCCGGCUAACUCCGUG